UCUGUGCCAAUUUUGCAGAAGUGUGCCAAAUGACUUCUUGAUGUGCCGGGGUCGACCCAAUCAAUCUUUGGGUCGACUUAAUCCACUCUUUGCUGCAUCUCAAUGUUAGAUUCAUUCAAAUGAACAAUGAAAUAUAUCUAUGUCAAUUCAUACAAAUAUACUGAGAGUAAUGGACUUAUAAAUGAAGUAUUGAUUUAACUUAUAACAUACUCUAGAUAAUUGCUUGUUAAUCAUCAAAAUAACACUAUCAUCCUCAAU
Molecule: long non-coding RNA, 258 nt
Filed under: Phoenix dactylifera (date palm)
Lineage: Eukaryota; Viridiplantae; Streptophyta; Magnoliopsida; Arecales; Arecaceae
Description: long non-coding RNA (PDAC_LNC010324)
Source: RNAcentral